UUUUUUUUUUUUUUUUUUUUUUUUUUUUUUUUUUUUUUUUUUUUUUCAAGACAGCAGGGA
RNAcentral lists this non-coding RNA (60 nucleotides) under Alexandrium minutum. The record is from RNAcentral. Lineage: Eukaryota; Dinophyceae; Gonyaulacales; Pyrocystaceae.